GCGACAGAGAACGCGAGAAGAACGCUCUGUGAUUGCAAGACAGAAGCCAAAGCCCCUUUGUUGACACGGCAUCAAUUGUGACAUUUUAGACAUUCACUUACUAUAUCGAACCAUUCUAUGGGCAUCAUCACAUGAGAUUCCAAGAGAGAAGCGAGCACCGAUACGAAGUUACCUUCCUCUUGCUGCUCUUAUCGGUCCCAUGCGGAGAGUCUUCAAUUGACGACGCCUUCAUGGACUUCUCAAGUAUCAACUUCAAGUAUCUUCUGAAGGGGACGCCUCUCGACGUGCGGCUUGUACACUUCACGGAGCGUCGUCCACCAGGAAGACAGGGCAAGCUUCGUCUGUAUGGCGCUCUUGGCCGACGAAGACGUCUCUUUCCAAUGGCUUGUCAACCAAGAGGAGGUGGCUUCUGGAGACUGGUACGAAGUUAUUGAAGACGCUAACCGGAAUGUCAUCCUCAUCAAAUCGAGAAAUUACAAGAUGCGCUACAGCGCACUCCGCAUCCUGGUCGCUUCUCUUGGGUCGCACACUGUCAGCUGCCGUGUGACCACGAGGAAGGAGACCCGAAGUGUCUACCGGCUGAGCAGCGCCUUCGAAGUUCAGAGCCACACAAAGCCCGACGGGAUAACAAAUGCCACCUUUCCCGGUCAUUCAAACAUGGGCUCACUGUGUGGUCACUCUGCGCGCUACGUUGGCCAGGACGUCAAUGGCGUGUUUGGCCUCGAAGACCUACCAAGAUGCGAAUGUGCUACCAACGCCAACCUUCAUGAUGU
Long non-coding RNA from Ornithodoros turicata, 773 nucleotides. RefSeq lists it as uncharacterized. The record is from RefSeq and is a predicted model, not a curated record. NCBI's taxonomy places the organism in Eukaryota, Metazoa, Arthropoda, Arachnida, Ixodida, Argasidae. The transcript has 3 exons.